AUGGGGAACCGUCAGGGCACAAUGAGGCCCAGGCGGCUCAAGAGCGCGAGAGCGACGGGGGAGGAGCUGGGGUCGUACGAGCAGGCGUGCAACGCGGACCCGGAGCUGCGGAGCUUCGACGCGGCGCUGCGUCGGCGCGCGAGCCUCGCCGUGUCGGCGGCGGCGUCCGGGGUGGAGGUGCGGUCCAUGUCCCUGGGCUCCCUCCGCGAGGUCACCGGCUGCCUGGUGGAGAUGAACCAGGAGGUGGUCCGCGUGGUGCUCGCCAGCAAGCACGACGUGUGGGGGUGCCCCGAGCUGUUGGCGCUGGUGGAGGACUACUUCGACGCCAGCCUCCACACCCUCGACUUCCUCGCCGCGCUCGACAAGGCCCUCCGCCGCGCCCGCGACGCGCAGCUCGUCCUCCACCUCGCGCUCCAGGUCCAAGACCCGGCCGUCCGGCCCCCGCGCGCGCUCGGCGCGCUGCGGCGGUUCAAGGAGGCGGCCGGCGGCGAGCCGUUCACGGACGAGUUCUUCGCCGCGUUCCAGGCCGCGUACCGGCAGCAGCUGGGCAUGCUGGACAGGCUGCGGCGGCAGAAGCGCCGCCUGGACGGGCGCCUCCGGUCGCUCCGCGUCUGGCGCCGCGUGACGGGCGUCGUCUUCGCGACCACCUUCGCGGCGAUCCUCGUCUGCUCGGUGGUGGCCGCGGCCAUCGCCGCGCCACCCGUCGCGGCCGCGCUGGCGGCCGCGGCGUCGCUGCCCGUGGGCUCCGCCGGGAAGUGGGUGGAUGCGAUGCUGAAGCGGUACCGGGACGCGCUCCGGGGGCACAAGGACGUGGUGGGCGCAAUGCAGGUCGGCACGUUCGUCGCCAUCGAGGAGCUGGACAGCAUACGCGCGCUCGUCGGCCGGCUCGAGGUCCAGGUCGGCUCCAUGGUGGACUGCGCGGAGCUGGCGGAGCGCGACGAGGAGGCUGCGAGGUUGGCGAUUGACGAGGUGAAGAAGAAGCUAGAGGCAUUCAUGAAGAACGUGGAUGAUCUCGGGCAGCAGGCGGACAAGUGUAGCCGGGACAUCCGGCAGGCCAGGACCGUCGUGCUGCAGAGGAUCAUCCAUCCCCAUUAA
This 1095-nucleotide ribosomal RNA is filed under the name Triticum aestivum (bread wheat). Its description in RNAcentral is "partial small subunit ribosomal RNA". Lineage: Eukaryota; Viridiplantae; Streptophyta; Magnoliopsida; Poales; Poaceae. The record is from RNAcentral.